RNAcentral lists this small nuclear RNA (356 nucleotides) under Anolis carolinensis (green anole). RNAcentral's name for it is "7SK RNA". The stretch from base 1 to 183 matches the Rfam family "7SK RNA". From Rfam's summary of the family: 7SK was discovered as an abundant small nuclear RNA in the mid-70s but a possible function has only recently been suggested. Two independent studies have found that 7SK RNA binds the CDK9/cyclin T complex (known as elongation factor P-TEFb). P-TEFb activates transcription by phosphorylating the C-terminal domain of RNA polymerase II. Lineage: Eukaryota; Metazoa; Chordata; Lepidosauria; Squamata; Anolidae. The record is from Rfam by way of RNAcentral.
GGACGUGAGGGUGAUCUGACUGCAACUUCUGUCACCCCAUUGAUCAUCAGGGUUGAUUUGGCUGAUCUGUCUGGCUAGCCGGGUAUCCCCUUCCUCCCUCACCGCUCCAUGUGUGUCCUAUCCCAAGAUGUGUGCUCGGUGGAAGAGGAUGACAUCUCAGGUAUAGGAUGACAUCUCAAGAGUGACAUCUCAGGAAGAGGAUGACAUCUCAGGAGUGUAUCGAGGUCUCCAUUCUUCAGUCCCAGGUUUACGAUAACUCCAAACAAGUUGUUUCCUAACCAUUUUGUUCCCAAAGGCCCAAGGUUUCCCAUUGAGCUCCAUGCCUGGAUGUACAUUCAACUGAAAUAUUUCCAGUC